UGGGAUUACUCUAGUCCCAACUCGCUUAACUUCGGAGUUCUCAUGACUCCGAAGCCAGUUAGCUCCCAAAAGGCCUCGUGCUAGAUGGAGGUGGGCAUGUACAUAUAAGGCACAUCACCCUCUCUCCGUUGGUCGAUGUGGGAUAUUACAAUUCACCCCCCCUUAGGGGCCCAACGUCCUCGUUGGCACACUAUCACCACACGGUAGAGUGGCUCUGAU
RNAcentral lists this long non-coding RNA (219 nucleotides) under Prunus persica (peach). Its description in RNAcentral is "long non-coding RNA (PPER_LNC004095)". Lineage: Eukaryota; Viridiplantae; Streptophyta; Magnoliopsida; Rosales; Rosaceae. The record is from RNAcentral.